GAUGAACGCUGGCGGCGUGCCUAACACAUGCAAGUCGAGCGCGAUUGUUUGGACUGGAGGCUUCGGCCAAAGGGAAGAACAUGAAAGCGGCGGACGGGUGAGUAACGCGUGAGCAACCUGCCUUGUACAGGGGGAUAGCCACUGGAAACGGUGAUUAAUACCCCAUAAUUCCGAGAGACCGCCUGGUCACUCGGACAAAGCUUUGGCGGUACAGGAUGGGCUCGCGUCUGAUUAGCUAGUUGGUGAGGUAAUGGCUCACCAAGGCAUCGAUCAGUAGCCGACCUGAGAGGGUGAACGGCCACACUGGAACUGAGACACGGUCCAGACUCCUACGGGUGGCUG
This 342-nucleotide ribosomal RNA is filed under the name uncultured Bacillota bacterium. RNAcentral describes it as "bacterial SSU rRNA". It matches the Rfam family "Bacterial small subunit ribosomal RNA", at positions 28 to 351 of the family's 1533-position model. Lineage: Bacteria; Bacillati; Bacillota. The record is from RNAcentral.